AGGGGUUUGAUGUCUGGCUCAGAACGAACGCUGGCGGCGCGUCUUAAGCAUGCAAGUCGAGCGGCAAGGGGUGCUUGCACCCCCUAGAGCGGCGGACUGGUGAGUAACGCGUGGAUAAUCUGCCUUGUGGCCGGGGAUAGCCGUUAGAAAUAGCGGGUAAUACCGGAUAAGUUCAUUUAGUGAUGACUAGAUGAGGAAAGGGGCUACGGCCCCGCCAUAAGAUGAGUCCGCGUCCCAUUAGCUAGUUGGCGGGGUAAAGGCCCACCAAGGCGAAGAUGGGUAGCCGGCCUGAGAGGGUGAACGGCCACAUUGGGACUGAGAUACGGCCCAAACUCCUACGGGAGGCAGCAGCUAAGAAUAUUCCGCAAUGGACGAGAGUCUGACGGAGCGACGCCGCGUGGAUGAGGAAGGCCGAAAGGUUGUAAAAUCCUUUUGCAGAUGAAGAAUAAGGGCUGUAGGGAAUGAUAGCCUGAUGACGUUAGUCUGUGAAUAAGCCCCGGCUAAUUACGUGCCAGCAGCCGCGGUAACACGUAAGGGGCGAGCGUUGUUCGGAAUUAUUGGGCGUAAAGGGCGCGUAGGCGGCCCUGU
This 588-nucleotide ribosomal RNA is filed under the name uncultured bacterium. RNAcentral's name for it is "bacterial SSU rRNA". It matches the Rfam family "Bacterial small subunit ribosomal RNA", at positions 1 to 584 of the family's 1533-position model. The record is from RNAcentral.